RNAcentral lists this ribosomal RNA (301 nucleotides) under uncultured bacterium. Its description in RNAcentral is "partial 16S ribosomal RNA". It matches the Rfam family "Bacterial small subunit ribosomal RNA", at positions 509 to 807 of the family's 1533-position model. The record is from RNAcentral.
CAGUCGCCGCGGGAAUACAGAGGGUGCGAGCGUUAAUCGGAUUUACUGGGCGUAAAGAGUGCGUAGGCGGCUUCUUAAGUCGGAUGUGAAAUCCCUGAGCUUAACUUAGGAAUUGCAUUCGAUACUGGGAAGCUAGAGUAUGGGAGAGGAUGGUAGAAUUCCAGGUGUAGCGGUGAAAUGCGUAGAGAUCUGGAGGAAUACCGAUGGCGAAGGCAGACAUCUGGCCUAAUACUGACGCUGAGGUACGAAAGCAUGGGGAGCAAACAGGAUUAGAUACCCCUGUAGUCCCUGUCUCUUAUAC